Molecule: ribosomal RNA, 336 nt
Filed under: Triticum aestivum (bread wheat)
Lineage: Eukaryota; Viridiplantae; Streptophyta; Magnoliopsida; Poales; Poaceae
Description: partial small subunit ribosomal RNA
Source: RNAcentral
AUGUGGCGUACGCUCCGUGGUGUGAUCCCGUGCCGUGUUGUCCUUGCUGAUCGCCACAUUGGAACACUUUCCCAAUGUCCAGUCUGUGAAAAGGCCAAAGAGGAUACUAGACAUGCAUUAUUCACCUGCGAGCGAGCUAGGAAAGUUUGGAGCAGGCUGGGAGUAACAGACAAGAUCAAUCAAGCUCUAGAGAUCGGUAGAGCUGGCGCUAUUCUUGAGAAAUUAUUGUGCAACUCUGAUGCAAACCAGGUAUACCUCAGCCAGAUACCCAUGGCCUCUCUCUAUGCUGUUAACAACAACAAAGCCUUUAGUUCCAAACAAGUUGGGGUAGCCUAG